CCCCUAGUAACUGCGAGUGAAGCGGGAAAAGCUCAAAUUUAAAAUCUGGCGGUCUUUGGCCGUCCGAGUUGUAGUCUGGAGAAGUGCUUUCCGCGCUGGACCGUGUACAAGUCUCUUGGAACAGAGCGUCAUAGAGGGUGAGAAUCCCGUCUUUGACACGGACUACCAGUGCUUUGUGAUGCGCUCUCAAAGAGUCGAGUUGUUUGGGAAUGCAGCUCAAAAUGGGUGGUAAAUUCCAUCUAAAGCUAAAUAUUGGCGAGAGACCGAUAGCGAACAAGUACCGUGAGGGAAAGAUGAAAAGCACUUUGGAAAGAGAGUUAAACAGUACGUGAAAUUGCUGAAAGGGAAACGCUUGAAGUCAGUCGCGUUGGCCAGGACUCAGCCUUGCUUUAGCUUGGUGCAUUUUCUGGUUGACGGGCCAGCAUCGAUUUUGGUUGUCGGAUAAAGGCAGGGGGAAUGUGGCAUCUUCGGAUGUGUUAUAGCCCUCAGUCACAUACGACGGCUGGGAUCGAGGACCGCAGCACGCCUUUAUGGCCGGGGUUCGCCCACGUUCGUGCUUAGGAUGCUGGCAUAAUGGCUUUAAACGACCCGUCUUGAAACACGGACCAAGGAGUCUAACAUGCCUGCGAGAAAGUUGAGAUCCCUGUCGCGGGGAGCAUCGACGCCCGGACCUGACCUUCUGUGAUGGAUCUGCGGUAGAGCAUGUAUGUUGGGACCCGAAAGAUGGUGAACUAUGCCUGAAUAGGGUGAAGCCAGAGGAAACUCUGGUGGAGGCUCGUAGCGAUUCUGACGUGCAAAUCGAUCGUCAAAUUUGGGUAUAGGGGCGAAAGAC
RNAcentral lists this ribosomal RNA (832 nucleotides) under Antrodia tanakae. RNAcentral describes it as "eukaryotic LSU rRNA". It matches the Rfam family "Eukaryotic large subunit ribosomal RNA", at positions 77 to 931 of the family's 3401-position model. Lineage: Eukaryota; Fungi; Basidiomycota; Agaricomycetes; Polyporales; Fomitopsidaceae. The record is from RNAcentral.